GUCUAGUACUCAGAGUUUGAUCCUGGCUCAGAACGAACGCUGGCGGCAUGCCUAACACAUGCAAGUCGAACGAGACCUUCGGGUCUAGUGGCGCACGGGUGCGUAACGCGUGGGAACCUGCCUUUAGGUUCGGAAUAACUCCCCGAAAGGGGAGCUAAUACCGGAUAAUGUCUUCGGACCAAAGAUUUAUCGCCUUUAGAUGGGCCCGCGUUGGAUUAGCUAGUUGGUGAGGUAAAGGCUCACCAAGGCGACGAUCCAUAGCUGGUCUUAGAGGAUGAUCAGCCACACUGGGACUGAGACACGGCCCAG
RNAcentral lists this ribosomal RNA (309 nucleotides) under uncultured bacterium. RNAcentral's name for it is "partial 16S ribosomal RNA". It matches the Rfam family "Bacterial small subunit ribosomal RNA", at positions 1 to 334 of the family's 1533-position model. The record is from RNAcentral.